This 200-nucleotide ribosomal RNA is filed under the name uncultured bacterium. RNAcentral's name for it is "partial 16S ribosomal RNA". It matches the Rfam family "Bacterial small subunit ribosomal RNA", at positions 28 to 225 of the family's 1533-position model. The record is from RNAcentral.
GAUGAACGCUAGCGGCAGGCUUAAUACAUGCAAGACGAACGGUAACUGGUGUAGCAAUACAUUAGCAAGAGUGUCGUACGGGUGCGUAACACGUAUGCAACCUACCUUGUACAGGAGGAUAGCUCGGGGAAACUCGAAUUAACCCUCCAUGAGAUCACAGUGUGGCAUCACAUAGUGAUUAAAACUCAGGUGGUACAAGA